AAAUAUGUUACUACAUAGAACAAAAGAGACGAUGACAAGUUAUAAAAGAACAAUAAUCAAAAUACUAAACCGAAGAGAACGAUUGAAGACAUACCUAAGAGAAUAAUUGAACUCUAGAGAUUGAAAUGAAGUCCCCAUCUUUUCUUUUGAAUCGCUUCCAUUUCAUGGCUUCUCUCUGCAUACAUAUGUUCUGUUUUCAGGGCCUAGAAAUGAUGAUUUCAGUGGAUAUAAAGUAGUUUGACAAGACAAUACCGAACAUUACGAAAAUUCAAUAAACGAAUAACUAAUAUUUAAUAGAGAUUUUUUUUUAGGAUAAAGAAGAAUGACAACUUACAAGUAGUAUGCAGAGGCUUAUUGAUCGCAUUAUUUAGAGAUGUUAUUUUAUUUUCAAACGACUCUUGCUUUGACUCUGCUUAGAGGUUCCAGAAAAUGAAUGUAUAAACCUCAGGAUAUAAACUUCUUGACCCAUUUAAUCGGUUCAAGAAGAGUUUAAAUAAUAGUACCUUAAUUGAUGAAAACUCUCUUCUCUUGUUCUAAUUUUGUAAGCUAAUCCCCUGUGGAAAAUACAUAUUUAUUAACUAAAUUUGAGACGAGAAUAUAUGGAGAUCGGAUUAGAUUAGGGACAAGACGAUUAUACUUCACCUAAAAAGCAAAUUUGAUUGCCCCUCACUGUUUAACACGUUUUACCAAGUUUGUCGUCACCAUGACUGUCUGCAGUGGGAAAAAACACCUGAAACUGCAUACCUGGUCAUGAACUUGAUGAUACUCUCUUCUAUAGUUCCCCUGUUGCAAAUACACAUUUAUUAACUAAAUUCAGAGACACAAAAAAAAGUACUCACCCAAUUAGAUUAGAAACUAUAGGAGUUAUGUAUAAGUAAAUAGAAUAUAGAGAUCAUUAUGUAAAUACUUUUACCCUAUGUCUCCACUGUAGUAUAUAUACUCUUGUAAUUCAUCAUUCAUUUAAUAAGAAAUAUUCAGAACCUAUAGAAACAAGAGCAUUAAAUUUACAAUUACAAUACCUUUCAUUCAUAUUUUCUUUUUACUAAAUCAUGUCAUUCUCUGUUGCAUAAUGAUGCAUUGGUUCCCAAACCAUGAACACUUGCCAACGAAAUUCAACAGAAACAACAUAAGUUCACCAUCAUAUAUUAGCACAUAGAAUUUGACAUAGUUCAGGAGAGAUAGAGACGAAAUUUCUAAAAAUAGUUUUCAUAAUCCUCUACUGCAUAAGAAGAAAAGGGACGCAUAAGAAGAAAAGGGACGCAUAAGUAGAAAAACAAAAGAUUGAAGACACAUACUUGGGAGUAGGAUUCAACUUAAGAAACAAGAAGAUGACGAACAUCCAUUUAAGAGCUCCAUUGCAAUAGACCUGAAACAAGCAUAACGGUGUCUAAGAGGUACGCAAUAUUAUAAGAUAAACCAUAUAAUGGUGUCUAAGACCAUAAUAAACCAUCCCCACUUAUAGGCCCGAAUAUGUAUUUAUUUGAUUUACCAUGCAAAACUUGGAUGUUGUUCCAAAACUUUGUUUCUUGCUCCUCUUUUUUGGCUUUUCUUUAGAAAUUCAUCCUUCAUAUUUCUUAGCUACGGAUUGCUGUACUUUAAGCUGCAAAACAGUAUGCAAAUGAAAUAGUAUACCAUCAGUUAAUAAUAUACCAUCAGUUAUUAUCCUAUGCGUUAGAAAUAAUCAAGAUAGCAGUUAAAUGACAACUUACAAGUGGAGCUCGUGGCUACUUGUUCGUCAUGUUUUACUCCAAGAUGAAACUUCUGCCACUGCUUACAGAUUCUAGAAAAUGAAUGAUAAGUUUAACUACAAACAACAUUGUAAUUGGCAGAAAGAUGUUAGCUAACUUGUGGUUGAUCACGCAAGAAUGUAAAUAGUCAUUCAUUUUAAACUAUAACAUAGAAAAAAGGAAAAAGGGUCAUGUUCAUAAUAUUCAAAGUCUUGAAACACUUACUUUUCUGUUGAGUAAGUCUUACCAUCUUACUUACAAUGGUCUCAUAACGGUUUGUUGGCUUACUUAGUUUUUCCUUUGGUCCUGUCGUAUAUAGAGCCUCUCCUUGUCCUCCUCAAAUUUGGAAGAUAGUGUCUGCAAGUAGUAACUCAUGUUCAACAGUUAUAUUAAUAUCCAACUUAACUGAUCUUAAGGGUGAGAGUCGACAGAAAAAGGGCAGUCGAAAGAAUACCUUCUAAACCUUUUAGAUGAUCAUGUCAGCUCCUUCUAAACUUUGUAAUUCAUGAAUUUGUAAUGAAGCUCCUCAAACUUGACAGCUUUAUCCUUCAAGAUAUUAUCAGACUGCAAAUAUGGAUCAUGUCAGUGUCAGAGAAUGUUGACAUAGUUCAGGAGAGAUAUAGACGAAAUUGAUAAGAAUGAUCAGUUUUCAUAAUACUUUACUGCAUAAGUAGAAAAACAAAAGAUUGAAGAAGCAUACUUGGGAGAAGGAAUUAACUUAAGAAACAAGAAGAUGACGAACAUCCAUUUUAGAGUUCUAUAGCAAUAGACCUGAAACAAGCAUAACGGUGUAAUUAAAUAUAAUUCAUCAUUCAUUCUAAAGUAUAACACAGAAGAAAAUAAAAGGGUCAUGGUCAUAAUAUGAAAAGUCUUGAAACACAAUGCUGUGUAAGUUGAGUAAGUGUUGCCAUCUUACUAACAGUGGUCUCAUAACGGGUAGUUGGCUUACUUAGUUGCUCAUAUAGAGCCUCUCCUUGUCCUCCUCAAACUUGGAAGAUAGUGUCUGCAAGUAGUAACUCAAGUUCAACAGUUUUGGUAAUAUCCAACUUAACUGAUCUAAGGGUGAGAGAUGUUAAAAAAAAGGGCAGUCGAAAGAAUACCUUUUGAACACUGUAGAUGAUCAUGUCAGUUCCUUUUAAACUUUGUAAUUCAUGAAUUUGUGAUGAAGCUCCUCAAUCUUGACAGCUUCAUCCUUCAAGAUAUUCUCAGACUGCAAAUAUGGAUCAUGUCAGCUCUUUGUACCUUUCUAAAGACUAAAAGUUUAAAGUAUAAUAUUGGGAGUUUUUGUACAGACCUCUUUGCAACUCUCUAAAAGUGCUUUGCCAAAUUUUUGUUUGCAGGCAAGGGCAGAAUUAACUUGCACGCUUCAAUAUAUAUGUUAUCUGACUUCACCACAGUGGACAAACUGCCGGAAAAGAAUUCAAGUAUUAAAAGAAGAUUCAGGCAUUCAGCUAUCAAACUAACGGUACUUAGAGACAUUAUAGAAUUUGUAUCAUCUUCUUGGGAAGAAGACUAAAAAUAUGAAGAUCAAGAGUAGAAAUAUUCUCUCUGUGGAACAAUUAAUGAUACCAUUAGAUACCAAAAGUUAAGAUAUAAAUCAACUGAGUAGAGUUGAGAAACAAAAUACUAAAUAACAAAAUGUUCUGUAUCUAUGAAAUCAAACGAGAUUCAUAUAAAGAAUACCUUAAUUUUUCGAUUCAAGCAAGCAAGUUAGAAAGUAAGGAAGUCAAACAAAAAUUAGAGGAGAAAAAAAAGAAAUUAAGCAAAGAAACAAGGAAGCAAGAAGGUCAUUAAGGAAUUAAGAAAGAAUAUACUGAAGCAAGCAAGCAAGUAAGCGAGGAGAGUUAAUCAAGUAAGUAAUAAUGAAGGCAGAACAAAAGUAAGCAAAGAAUCAGUGAAGCAAAUAAGUGAAAAGAAACAGAGAAGCAAUUAUGUACGUGUAUAAGGAAGUAUGAAAGUAUAGAGAUUUGUGUCUGCAUAGAUAAAAGUAUCUAUGAAGCAAGCAAAUAAGUAAGUAAUUAAGGCAGAAAAACAAGUAAGCAAAGAAUCAAGUAAGCAAUUACUUAUGAAAGUAUACACAUUUGUGUCUGCAUUAAUAAAAGUAUGUAUGAAUGUAUGCAUGUAUGUAUGAAUGUGUGCAUGAAUGUAUGCAUGAAUGUAUGAAUGCAUCCAUGAAUN
Molecule: long non-coding RNA, 3905 nt
Filed under: Capsella grandiflora
Lineage: Eukaryota; Viridiplantae; Streptophyta; Magnoliopsida; Brassicales; Brassicaceae
Description: long non-coding RNA (CGRA_LNC000943)
Source: RNAcentral